Molecule: ribosomal RNA, 349 nt
Filed under: uncultured Xenococcus sp.
Lineage: Bacteria; Bacillati; Cyanobacteriota; Cyanophyceae; Pleurocapsales; Xenococcaceae
Description: bacterial SSU rRNA
Rfam family: Bacterial small subunit ribosomal RNA
Source: RNAcentral
CGAAAGCCUGACGGAGCAAUACCGCGUGAGGGAGGAAGGCUCUUGGGUUGUAAACCUCUUUUCUGGGGGAAGAAGUUCUGACGGUACCCCAGGAAUCAGCAUCGGCUAACUCCGUGCCAGCAGCCGCGGUAAUACGGAGGAUGCAAGCGUUAUCCGGAAUUAUUGGGCGUAAAGCGUCCGCAGGUGGUACAUCAAGUCUGCUGUCAAAGACCGGAGCUCAACUCCGGGCAGGCAGUGGAAACUGGUGAACUAGAGUACGGUAGGGGUAGAGGGAAUUCCCAGUGUAGCGGUGAAAUGCGUAGAGAUUGGGAAGAACACCAGUGGCGAAGGCGCUCUACUGGGCCGUAAC